CAGCCGCCGCGGUAAUACCGGCGGCCCGAGUGGCGGUCACUAUUAUUGGGCUUAAAGCGUCCGUAGCCGGGUUGGGAAGUCCUCCGGGAAAUCUGGCCGCUUAACGGUCAGAAUGCCGGAGGAUACUCCCAGCCUAGGGAGCGGGAGAGGCCGAGGGUAUUCCCGGAGUAGGGGGGAAAUCCUAUAAUCCCGGGAGGACCACCUGUGGCGAAGGCGCUCGGCUGGAACGCGUCCGACGGUGAGGGACGAAGGCCAGGGGAGCAAACCGGAUUAGAUACCCGGGUAGUCCUGGCUGUAAACGAUGCGGACUUUGUGUCGGACAAGCUAUGAGCUUGUCCGGUGCCGGAGGGAAACCGUUAAGUCCGCCGCCUGGGGAGUACGGCCGCAAGGCUGAAACUUAAAGGAAUUGGCGGG
Molecule: ribosomal RNA, 414 nt
Filed under: uncultured microorganism
Description: bacterial SSU rRNA
Rfam family: Archaeal small subunit ribosomal RNA
Source: RNAcentral